Molecule: RNA transcript, 1173 nt
Organism: Anneissia japonica
Lineage: Eukaryota; Metazoa; Echinodermata; Crinoidea; Comatulida; Comatulidae
Exons: 5
Source: RefSeq, a predicted model, not a curated record
UAUACUUUCUUUUUUUAGAUUAAUUAGUGGACCUUUCGGUUCCUUGCCUGGGGGCAGUUUUAAUACUCUUUGCUUUUAGUGGCGGUGCAAGUGACAAUCAAUAGAGGGCGUUGCUUAUAGUAAACACAUCAAUUUUCAAGUCGAUUCCAAAAGCUUCGGUGUGUCACAUUUUAUUUCUUUUUAAACAUGGAUACAAUAACAGACCAAGAGUCUGUCAGAAAUCAGUGGCAAGAUGUGUGUUUCAAGUGUUCAGUUGAGAGUACGUUGUGUGAAAGAUGGUGGUCGGUAUUAGAAGCCAACUAUUCGGAAGAACGAAGGCAUUACCAUACAUUACAUCAUAUACGAAAAAUGAACGAAGCCGUCUCCAGUGUUGCCUCGAAUCUCAAGCGACCUGAUUUAGUUUACUGGAGUGUGUUUUUUCACGAUAUCAUAUAUGACCCCAAGUCCUCCAAGAAUGAAGAAGAGAGUGCCAAAGUUUUUGAAGAAUUUGCAGCAGAAUGCUUACCAGAGGCACCAACUUGCGACAUCACUGACGUCUCAAACUGGAUCUUAAUGACCAGAAGUCACAUCACCCACAUUCACCUGACACCUAACAAGUUUGCCAAUGAGGACAAGUAUUAUUUCCUUGAUGCUGAUAUGGAGGUGUUAGGAUGGGCGAACCCCGAGUAUGAUGAAUAUGCAAAUCAGAUCCGAUCUGAAUAUACACAUGUGGCAGAAAAAACAUUCAGGGAAAGAAGAUCUAAGGUUUUGAAGAGCUUCUUAAAACUUCCAAAUAUUUAUGCAACUAAAAUAUUUCGUGAUAAAUAUGAAGCCCAGGCAAGAAGCAAUUUACAAAGAGAAAUCGAUCGACUGGGAGAAAGUUGAUGUAAAGACAUUAAAUCACUUGUCAUUUGCAAGUGUAGAGCUGAUUAUCUUAGACCCUUGAAGGGAAUGUGAUCAAAGACCAUAAUGAAAUUUUAUUAAUUAUUCUGUUAAAUUUUGUAAUAUAUCAGUAGUUUUUUUUUCAUAUAGAAUUAUCAGGAAAGACUAAAGCAAAUUAUAACACAACAAAGUCUCUCUUUUCAAAACAUAAGUUUAUUUUUGAUCUCAUUCUCAAACCUCUGUACAAAUAAUUUUAGAACACAUAAAUAACUGACUGUGAAUAAUUGCAUUAAAUGCUAUUCUAAAGCACUC